RNAcentral lists this ribosomal RNA (253 nucleotides) under uncultured bacterium. RNAcentral's name for it is "partial 16S ribosomal RNA". It matches the Rfam family "Bacterial small subunit ribosomal RNA", at positions 524 to 776 of the family's 1533-position model. The record is from RNAcentral.
UACGUAGGGCGCAAGCGUUGUCCGGAAUUAUUGGGCGUAAAGAGUUCGUAGGCGGCUUGUCACGUCGGGUGUGAAAGCCCGGGGCUUAACCCCGGGUCUGCAUUCGAUACGGGCUAGCUAGAGUGUGGUAGGGGAGAUCGGAAUUCCUGGUGUAGCGGUGAAAUGCGCAGAUAUCAGGAGGAACACCGGUGGCGAAGGCGGAUCUCUGGGCCAUUACUGACGCUGAGGAGCGAAAGCGUGGGGAGCGAACAGG